RNAcentral lists this long non-coding RNA (453 nucleotides) under Ananas comosus (pineapple). RNAcentral's name for it is "long non-coding RNA (ACOM_LNC032803)". The record is from RNAcentral. Lineage: Eukaryota; Viridiplantae; Streptophyta; Magnoliopsida; Poales; Bromeliaceae.
UGAUUGAUUCGAUCCAACGGAACAUGUCUAGAAAAGCAGUCAAGUUGAAAUAAAUUGGUAUGAGGCAUCUGAGGAAAAAUCAUCUGAUAAUACACCUAUGAUUUGUGACUCAUAGCCUGGGCGAUUAUGUUGAUAUUUGUUGUCAAUAUAAUCAUGAGUACAAAUGCAUUGAUGAGAGAGAUCUAGCUAGCUUGCUCUAUGGUAUCAGAGAUGCGAUGAUCUGGUGUAGUUCAGUGAUUUGGGGUAUAGACGAGAUUUGGAGUUAUAGUGUUAUGUUAGUUGGAUGGUAUCUUAAUAUAAUACUCCUCACUUUUGAUUCUUCUCGUUAUUGAUCGCACCAACCAUUUCCUGUAUGAAGAGCAGAACGAGAUGAGGAUAUGAUGAGAAUAUAUUUGGGUUGAGAAAACAUGAAUAAGUACCAUGUGUGUACGACUGGGAGAUGUUGGAAUUCAU